RNAcentral lists this unclassified non-coding RNA (714 nucleotides) under Williopsis jadinii. RNAcentral describes it as "Cyberlindnera jadinii sequence contains 18S rRNA gene, ITS1, 5.8S rRNA gene, ITS2, 28S rRNA gene". The stretch from base 184 to 337 matches the Rfam family "5.8S ribosomal RNA". Lineage: Eukaryota; Fungi; Ascomycota; Saccharomycetes; Phaffomycetales; Wickerhamomycetaceae. The record is from RNAcentral.
CGUAACAAGGUUUCCGUAGGUGAACCUGCGGAAGGAUCAUUAGAGAACCUGGGCCUGCGCUACUUGCGCGGCUCCAACCAAUACACAGUGUGUUAUACUUCUCUUGCUUUGGCUCUGCCAAAGGUUUUAAACACAGAAAUUUAUUUUCUUUAAGAACAGUCAAUUUGAAAUUUUAAUCUUCAAAACUUUCAACAACGGAUCUCUUGGUUCUCGCAACGAUGAAGAACGCAGCGAAAUGCGAUACGUAAUGUGAAUUGCAGGUUUUCGUGAAUCAUCGAAUCUUUGAACGCAUAUUGCGCUCUCUGGCAUUCCAGAGAGCAUGCCUGUUUGAGCGUCAUUUCUCUCUCAAGAUCCUCUAGGGGACUUGGUAUUGAGUGAUACUCUGUGUUAACUUGAAAUACUCUAGGCAGAGCUCCCCCCUGGAAAUCCUCUGGGCCGAAAUAAUGUAUUAGGUUCUACCAACUCGUUAUUUUCCAGACAGACUUCCAGGCAGAGCUCGGCUUAACAACCUUUCUAAGCUUGACCUCAAAUCAGGUAGGACUACCCGCUGAACUUAAGCAUAUCAAUAAGCGGAGGAAAAGAAACCAACAGGGAUUGCCUCAGUAACGGCGAGUGAAGCGGCAAAAGCUCAAAUUUGAAAUCUGAGGCUCCCCAGCCCCCGAGUUGUAAUUUGAAGAUGGUGUUCUGGUGCCGGCGCCCUGUCUACGUUCCUUG